UACGUAGGGUGCAAGCGUUGUCCGGAAUUAUUGGGCGUAAAGAGCUCGUAGGCGGUCUGUCGCGUCGGCUGUGAAAACUCGGGGCUCAACUCCGAGCCUGCAGUCGAUACGGGCAGACUAGAGUGCUGUAGGGGAGACUGGAAUUCCUGGUGUAGCGGUGAAAUGCGCAGAUAUCAGGAGGAACACCGGUGGCGAAGGCGGGUCUCUGGGCCGAUACUGACGCUGAGGAGCGAAAGCGUGGGGAGCAAACAGG
Molecule: ribosomal RNA, 253 nt
Filed under: uncultured bacterium
Lineage: Bacteria
Description: partial 16S ribosomal RNA
Rfam family: Bacterial small subunit ribosomal RNA
Source: RNAcentral